This is a long non-coding RNA of Dermacentor andersoni, 803 nucleotides long. RefSeq lists it as uncharacterized. Lineage: Eukaryota; Metazoa; Arthropoda; Arachnida; Ixodida; Ixodidae. The record is from RefSeq and is a predicted model, not a curated record.
UCGCGCAUACACGUGCUCUGCCAGCAGAGGUCAACAACUGGCGAUUCGAAGUGCAUGUCGCGAUUAUGAUAAUUAUUGCGCAGGGCUACAACAACGGAAGGUUGGCAAGGGAGAAGACAUGCAACUACGAAAUUGGGGCAGCAAUGUUGCCUGCACUGGCUCGUGAAGACAUCGUGAAUUUCGACAGCAUCUGCAUGGACCUACAUUUAGGUGGCUUUCAUCAAAGGACUACAUUACAUUCCGAAUGAACCAAAGGCUCAACCUAGAAUGUCUAAGAACUUAUCUGGUGCCAGAAACAGCCCAAAUACAAGAAACAACAUUUUAAUUCAAGACGUCACACUUACGUGAUGGCACUGAGGUUUCACGUAAGAAUUUAGAAAAUAAAAUGUUUGCUCUUCAUUCCUACAAUUGUUCACCACAUUUUCUUUUUACCAGAAUAAAGCAAUCUUGAAGGAAUACUUUACCAUCACAUUAACUGGUUUCAAGCGGGUCGCAAUAGAGUAUAUAUAUAUAUACACACACACACACUCAUUGUUGUGGAUGUCAAAGACACUCACAUGUUUGACCUACUUUUUACUAAAACCCCUGCCAGGCCCCGCACACUCUCAAGUUCAACAAAUGGCCACAGAGGGCGAAAAAUCAAUCGAGGCGCGUUUCAGCAUAAGCGCGCAAGUGGAGCUACUGUAAUUUGGUCGAAUACUUUAAUUUGUGCUUUCUCUGCUAGGGGCGCUGAACAUGCUGAAUUUUUUAAUUUACACAAACCAUUGACAUGAACAAUCGAGGUGUCUAAGGAUGCUUUUUUA